UUUACAAUGAGAGAAACCAGCAGGCACUUUCAUAUAGUUAAAAAUUAAAUAAAGAAUAAUGAAAUUUUAGUUUUGUACCUUUUGUAUCAGGGGGCUUUAAAAGUUAAAUUAAAGAAGUUUCGAGUCGAUUGGAUCUUUAAAUUAAACAGUAAUGGCAUUUAUUGGUUUUAUUUAGAAAGAGGUGAAAAGCAGACGACGAUCGUUAUAACUAAUUGUUUUAUAAUUUAAAAGGUAAAACUUUUAAUGAUCUAUAAAAAUAAAGUGUAAAAAUAACUAAGCUUUAAAUUAGCUAGGUUGUUAAAUUGUUUCAAAUAAUUUGUAUUUAGAAAUAAAAUAGAAUUGUCUUACAAUGGUAAAAAAUAGUGAUUUCUAUUAAUAAUGAAGUUAUUGAAUAAUAAAUGAAGUUAAAAAAGGACUCGGAGUAAGUUAGAUAGUUUAACAAAAACAUUUUUAUCUGAAGAAAAGAAAAUAAAACCUGCCCAGUGCACUGUAAACGGCUGCAGUAUUUUGACUGUGCUAAGGUAGCGUAGUCAUUUGCUGCUUAAUUAGUAGCUAGAAUGAAUGGUUAAACUAUUUUAAUUGGUUUGUUAGCUUAACAGGAAAUUCAAGUAGAGGUAAAAAUUCUUCUGUUGACUAGGGGACGAUAAGACCCUAAAAGCUUAAUUAGAAGAGUACUUAUGGUUAUAGUUAAUAAAUAGUUUCACUGGGGCGGUGACAGCUUUUAAACUGUUGUGUAUUUUGAUGAUCCUGAGAUAUUCAGAUAAAAGGGGAAGUUACUUUAGGGAUAACAGUGCAAUAUAUUUGGAGAGACCAUAUCGAUAAAUAAGUUUGUAACCUCGAUGUU
RNAcentral lists this ribosomal RNA (844 nucleotides) under Gammarus sobaegensis. Its description in RNAcentral is "partial large subunit ribosomal RNA". The stretch from base 429 to 573 matches the Rfam family "Archaeal large subunit ribosomal RNA", at positions 1889 to 2084 of the family's 2987-position model. The record is from RNAcentral. Lineage: Eukaryota; Metazoa; Arthropoda; Malacostraca; Amphipoda; Gammaridae.